CCUACGGGGGACAGCAGUGAGGAAUAUUGGUCAAUGGACGGAAGUCUGAACCAGCCAUGCCGCGUGCAGGAAGACGGCCCUAUGGGUUGUAAACUGCUUUUGUACAAGGGUAAACCUUAAUACGUGUAUUCUUCUGAAUGUACUGUACGAAUAAGGAUCGGCUAACUCCGUGCCAGCAGCCGCGGUAAUACGGAGGAUCCGAGCGUUAUCCGGAUUUAUUGGGUUUAAAGGGAGCGUAGAUGGGUUGUUAAGUCAGUUGUGAAAGUUUGCGGCUCAACCGUAAAAUUGCAAUUGAUACUGGCAGUCUUGAGUACAGUAGAGGUGGGCGGAAUUCGUGGUGUAGCGGUGAAAUGCUUAGAUAUCACGAAGAACUCCGAUUGCGAAGGCAGCUCACUAAACUGAAACUGACAUUGAUGCUCGAAAGUGUGGGUAUCAAACAGGAUUAGAUACCCUAGUAGUC
This 460-nucleotide ribosomal RNA is filed under the name uncultured bacterium. RNAcentral describes it as "partial 16S ribosomal RNA". It matches the Rfam family "Bacterial small subunit ribosomal RNA", at positions 338 to 795 of the family's 1533-position model. The record is from RNAcentral.